UUUUUUUUUUUUUUUUUUUUUUUUUUUUUUUUUUUU
This 36-nucleotide non-coding RNA is filed under the name Prorocentrum micans. RNAcentral also lists the same sequence under 3 other names. Lineage: Eukaryota; Dinophyceae; Prorocentrales; Prorocentraceae. The record is from RNAcentral.